RNAcentral lists this transfer RNA (70 nucleotides) under Dipodomys ordii (Ord's kangaroo rat). It matches the Rfam family "tRNA". From Rfam's summary of the family: Transfer RNA (tRNA) molecules are approximately 80 nucleotides in length. Their secondary structure includes four short double-helical elements and three loops (D, anti-codon, and T loops). Further hydrogen bonds mediate the characteristic L-shaped molecular structure. tRNAs have two regions of fundamental functional importance: the anti-codon, which is responsible for specific mRNA codon recognition, and the 3' end, to which the tRNAs corresponding amino acid is attached (by aminoacyl-tRNA synthetases). tRNAs cope with the degeneracy of the genetic code in two manners: having more than one tRNA (with a specific anti-codon) for a particular amino acid; and 'wobble' base-pairing, i.e. permitting non-standard base-pairing at the 3rd anti-codon position. The record is from Rfam by way of RNAcentral. Lineage: Eukaryota; Metazoa; Chordata; Mammalia; Rodentia; Heteromyidae.
GGGAAGUUGGCUCAGUGGUAGAGCACUUGCCUUGUAUGCAUGAGGCCCUGGGUUUGAUUCCUCAGUACCA